GACGAACGCUGGCGGCGUGCUUAACACAUGCAAGUCGAACGGCAAGGCCCUGCUUUUGUGGGGUGCUCGAGUGGCGAACGGGUGAGUAUCACGUGAGUAACCUGCCCUUGACUUUGGGAUAACUUCAGGAAACUGGGGCUAAUACAGGAUCGGAGCUCCUGCUGCAUGGUGGGGGUUGGAAAGUUUCGGCGGUUGGGGUUGGACUCGCGGCUUAUCGGCUUGUUGGUUGGGGAGUGGCUUACCAAGGCUUUGACGGGUAGCCGGCCUGGGAGGGGGGCCGGCCUCAUUGGGACUGAGAGACGGACCAGAGUCCUACGGGAGACAGCAGUGGGGAAUAUUGCACAGUGGGCGGAAGCCUGAUGCAGCAACGCCGCGUGCGGGAUGACGGCCUUCGGGUUGUAAACCGCUUUCGCCUGUGACGAAGCGUGAGUGACGGUAAUGGGUAAAGAAGCACCGGCUAACUACGUG
RNAcentral lists this ribosomal RNA (468 nucleotides) under uncultured bacterium. RNAcentral describes it as "partial 16S ribosomal RNA". It matches the Rfam family "Bacterial small subunit ribosomal RNA", at positions 28 to 507 of the family's 1533-position model. The record is from RNAcentral.